ACUGCGGAUGAUACCAUACAGCUAGAGGGUGGAUAGGUGACGGUAUUUCUGGGGUAGGGGCGAAAUCCUUUGAUCCCAGGAGGACCACCAGUGGCGAAGGCUGCUCACUAGAACACGCCUGACGGUCAGGGACGAAAGCUGGGGCAGCGAACCGGAUUAGAUACCCGGGUAGUCCCAGCUGUAAACGAUGCUAGCUAGGUGUUGGGUCGGCCACGCGCCGCCCCAGUGCCGCAGGGAAGCCGUUAAGCUAGCCGCCUGGGGAGUACGGCCGCAAGGCUGAAACUUAAAGGAAUUGGCGGGGGAGCACCACCAGGCGUGAAGCCUGCGGUUUAAUUGGAGUCAACGCCGGAAAUCUUACCGGGAUCGACAGCAGAAUGAAGGCCAGGUUGAAGGUCUUGCUAGACGAGCUGAGAGGAGGUGCAUGGCCAUCGCCAGUUCGUGCCGUGAGGUGUCCUCUUAAGUGAGGUAACGAACGAGACCCCCACCCCAUGUUGCCAUCAGGAUUAAAGGAUCGCUGGGCACUCUUGGGGGACCGCUGCCGACAAGGCUGAGGAAGGUGGGGGCCACGGUAGGUCAGUAUGCCCCGAAUAUCCCGGGCCACACGCGGGCUGCAAUGGUAGGGACAGAGGGCUGCAACACCGAGAGGUGGAGCCAAUCCUAAACCUACCUCAGUUGGGAUCGAGGGCUGCAACCCGCCCUCGUGAACAUGGAAUGCCUAGGUAACCGCACGUCAUCAUCGUGCAGUGA
This 747-nucleotide ribosomal RNA is filed under the name uncultured archaeon. Its description in RNAcentral is "bacterial SSU rRNA". It matches the Rfam family "Archaeal small subunit ribosomal RNA", at positions 571 to 1321 of the family's 1478-position model. The record is from RNAcentral.